RNAcentral lists this long non-coding RNA (2450 nucleotides) under Zea mays. RNAcentral's name for it is "long non-coding RNA (ZMAY_LNC000987)". Lineage: Eukaryota; Viridiplantae; Streptophyta; Magnoliopsida; Poales; Poaceae. The record is from RNAcentral.
AAAAGUAUAAGUUUAAAAUAUAUGCUAGCUCAAGUGACCAUCCUCAAUAAGAAGUAUAGAAGAAGUACUUAGAUUUAUAAGAAGGCCGAGCCCACCGGCACUUAACACCAUCAACAGCAGUACAAAAUUAAAACCUGAAAAACAACAGGGAAAAAAACCCUGAGUAUGGAAUUACUCAGCAAGUCUUACUCGACUAAAGAAAAGACUCUCAAGGGUAUGCUGGAUUUGGGAAUCAAGGAGAGGCUUUAGCAAAAAUCAACUUAGAUACUUUUGCAGAAAUAGCUUAUUAAAGUGAGUCCUUACUUUCAAUAUUUUAACGCCAAAUUAAAUAUUAAUAGACUCUGUUUGCAUAUGGUCUACUUUCACCAUCUCAUCAAUACAACAUCAUUUUUAUUCAUGAGAUUCACAUCCUGACUUAGGUUGCAGGUCACUGAUCAAGUCUCCACUCUCCGGGGAUAUAACGGCGAUCCGAAUCGAUUUACUCAGCUGAGGAUCUCUAACCACACGACAUAUGUAGCACUUAACCCUAGCAUAUUUCAACCGUUCCCACAGAUCCUCUACAACGUGAACCGGUCCGCGCUACCCGGGAGCACAGUACUCCUCCAUCCAGCCUCUAGCCAGGAGGGUACACGCUACUCCCACCAUCUCCCACGCCAAGUACGCGGUUGUCUUUUCACGUAUGGAAUAGCCGGGUUCAAGCUUACCCUGUCCCAUUUCCAGGGCAUGUGGCCAGUUAAGAUAGUCCUUGAUCUAUCAGGCCUACAUACGCAUCCAAUCCUUAAUUGACCCGGACGGAGCAUCACCUGUUCCUAGCCCAAGUCCCGAUUUAAGUACUUCCACCCUUAGGAUUGUUUGUAUUCCUUAGGAUGAAAAGAGAAUCAAAGGAAACUUUGCAGUAAGAUCCUACCACGCUCUCAAUGAAAAUAUUCUUACAGGUAGAAGCCAUCUUUCCUCAGGAUAACCCCUGAGCUAGGCCUUAAUGCAAAAGACAACCCCUAUCCACAAGAUCUGAGCAGGGCUAAGCAUUUUUGUAAAUCAUGUUUUGAUACUUCACCAGAAGUAUCUAUAAAGGUAUGGAUAUCAAGGAAGGCAAUGCAUCAAAAAGGUUCCAAGCAACUCCUAUAAACCGAAUGCACAUUUCACUAGACUUAAAGUGUGCAGAAAUUAUUUAAAAACACAAGGAAGGGGUUGCAUGCACCGGGGCUUGCCUGGAAUAAACACUAUGUUAGUGUUUGUUAGAUGACGUCCGCUUGACGAGUAUCCCCCGACCGAACAUUCGCUUGAUUUAACUAUCCUCAGGUUGGUCCAUCAGCUUCACCAUGCGGAGUAGUCCACGCUUGGGGUCGACUUGACUCAAGUUCUCCGCAUCUCAUGGUUAAUCAACGUACCUAAAUGAUUUGCAUAAUGCACAUGAAUGCAUAUAAACAAGAAUAUCACAAACCUAAAUAAGGCUACACGACGGUGAAAUAAACACCUAGCGGCGAGGCGUUGUACUAUUUCCUACGGAAACACUAGUUAUCGACAUACGACUACGCUCAAUUAUCAUACUUUUCUAGUGUAAUCGUAUCUACUUCAAAUAUCAAAGCGAUAAUAAACUAAACACAAGUCCUAUAUCAAAACACCCAUCGAGUCACUAACACUUUACUUCUGGCCCCUUCUAUGUUUCUUGCCUUUACAAAUUGAGUCCCCGACGUCGCCGGCAGCGCGAACGCGUUCCCCCCGCGAUCCUACGGCGGAGGAGAGCCCGAGCAGUCAUCGGACAACGGCCAGAUCAAAUCUUAACAUAAUCCAAACAAUUACGGGCAUGGAUUUGGCUCACAAAUUCCCAGAGCGACUUGACCGCGCCCACGACGGAAUCCAAGUUCGUGGUAUAUGCCGGGCCAAUUUGAGUGUCGGACACAUCAAAUUAAGGGCACGGGGAGUACGAGCAAGACACGGUCGACGCGAUGCUUACGAUCGACAUCGAACCGACAGAGUUUUGGUGGGUUGACAUCAGAGCAGUUCAUGCGGCAUUAAACCCGCGUUCCGAUCAAACUAGGAUUGUAAAUAUCAACCGGACUUUUUGGUGAGCUUCACCAAUCUAUAGGGACGCUAGAACAUGAAGUCUUAAGGAUUGAGCCAUACCGUAGAUGCCCAGCCACAUGAGGUCGAGGUGUUGGCGAGGGGAUCAUCAGCCACGCUCAAUAUCUUGAUCAAUGAAACUGGGCGCGACCAGGGUAUAAUUUGGGGGAAGGGAGAGCAACCCUGUUAGCUGAAGUUAUAUCCUGUGGUUGAUGGUCGAGGCAAGGAUCACGGCUUGCUCCUGCUUUCCUUUCCCCCCCCCCGGUUGCUCUUAUAUAGCCAAGGAAAAGAUCAAGGGACUGGAUUCUUGAGUUUACAGGGGGGGAUAACUAUAUGCAUGGGGUGCAGUCGUGGCUUACCCAAGGAAGCCCACGCCGGUGCUGCAGGGU